Molecule: ribosomal RNA, 460 nt
Filed under: uncultured bacterium
Lineage: Bacteria
Description: partial 16S ribosomal RNA
Rfam family: Bacterial small subunit ribosomal RNA
Source: RNAcentral
CCUACGGGCGGCUGCAGUGAGGAAUAUUGGUCAAUGGGCGAGAGCCUGAACCAGCCAAGUAGCGUGCAGGAUGACGGCCCUACGGGUUGUAAACUGCUUUUAUACGGGAAUAACGCGCCUUACGUGUAGGGCUUUGCAUGUACCGUAUGGAUAAGGCCCGGCUAAUUCCGUUCCAGCAGCCGCGGUAAUACGGAAGGUCCGGGCGUUAUCCGGAUUUAUUGGGUUUAAAGGGGGCAUAGUCCGCAUGUCAAGCGUGCUGUGAAAUGUCCGGGCUCAACCCGGGCCUUGCAGCGCGAACUGGGGUGCUUGAGUCCGCGGAAAGCAGGCGGAAUUCGUCGUGUAGCGGUGAAAUGCUUAGAUAUGACGAAGAACCCCGAUUGCGAAGGCAGCUUGCUGCAGCGGAACUGACGCUGAUGCUCGAAAGCGCGGGUAUCGAACAGGAUUAGAUACCCUUGUAGUC